CAAUAGCGUAUAUUAAAGCUGUUGCGGUUAAAAAGCUCGUAGUUGGAUUUCUGUCAAGUACAACUGGUCCGCCCUCCGGGUGAGCACAUAGUUUGGUCUUGGCAUCUUGCUGGAAACUGUUGCUGCACUUGGCUGUGUGGCGCAGCGUCCAGCACUUUCACUUUGAGGAAAUUGGAGUGUUUCAAGCAGGCACAUGCCUUUGGACACAGUAGCAUGGAAUAAUUAGAUUGGGCUUUUGCUCCAAUUUGUCGGUUUCUGGAGCUGAGGUGAGAAUUAAUGGGGAUUGUUGGGGGCAUCCGAAUUUAGCCGUCAGAGGUGAAAUUCUUGGAUCUGCUAAAGACGGACAACUGCGAAAGCGUUUGCCCAGGAUGUUUNCAUUGA
This 381-nucleotide ribosomal RNA is filed under the name uncultured eukaryote. RNAcentral's name for it is "partial 18S ribosomal RNA". It matches the Rfam family "Eukaryotic small subunit ribosomal RNA", at positions 592 to 976 of the family's 1831-position model. The record is from RNAcentral.